This 464-nucleotide long non-coding RNA is filed under the name Chinchilla lanigera (long-tailed chinchilla). RNAcentral describes it as "lncRNA (ENSCLAG00000027745.1)". Lineage: Eukaryota; Metazoa; Chordata; Mammalia; Rodentia; Chinchillidae. The record is from RNAcentral.
AUGAACACCUUGGUGACAACUAUGCACUGUGCACAGCUGGCCCAGUGUCAACACCCAUGAUUGUUGCAAAGGAGAAAUGCAAAAGGACUGCACAGGGUCAGGACUCGGCAGCCGCCAGCCUGCCCCAUCCGAAGCUGGGCACAGCUUCUGUACCGGCUUUUCCCUGCAGCUGUCUUUGCCGGGUUACUGCAGGAAACUCUUGGAAACACGAGACUCCCGACGCCGGGACUUCACGUAUGGAACUCCGGUUGCUGUUUAACAACAAUUUCUCCAGCACUCAGGGUCAGCGUCUCUGCCUGCAGCCUGAGGCUAGCAAGGCGCAGAGUCUCUGGCCGCGCGCCCCGCUUCUCCUAGGGAGCGACUGGUAACCACGCCGCCCCUGGCAGCCUGACUUGGACUUUAUUCCCGGUUCCUUUACUGCAGGGCAGGUCUGAAGCAGCGAGGGCGGAGUGUGGCUCGGUCCC